RNAcentral lists this ribosomal RNA (578 nucleotides) under Bacillus sp. (in: firmicutes). Its description in RNAcentral is "bacterial SSU rRNA". It matches the Rfam family "Bacterial small subunit ribosomal RNA", at positions 95 to 659 of the family's 1533-position model. Lineage: Bacteria; Bacillati; Bacillota; Bacilli; Caryophanales; Bacillaceae. The record is from RNAcentral.
GCGGCGGACGGGUGAGUAACACGUGGGUAACCUGCCUGUAAGACUGGGAUAACUCCGGGAAACCGGAGCUAAUACCGGAUAGUUCCUUGAACCGCAUGGUUCAAGGAUGAAAGACGGUUUCGGCUGUCACUUACAGAUGGACCCGCGGCGCAUUAGCUAGUUGGUGGGGUAAUGGCUCACCAAGGCGACGAUGCGUAGCCGACCUGAGAGGGUGAUCGGCCACACUGGGACUGAGACACGGCCCAGACUCCUACGGGAGGCAGCAGUAGGGAAUCUUCCGCAAUGGACGAAAGUCUGACGGAGCAACGCCGCGUGAGUGAUGAAGGUUUUCGGAUCGUAAAGCUCUGUUGUUAGGGAAGAACAAGUGCGAGAGUAACUGCUCGCACCUUGACGGUACCUAACCAGAAAGCCACGGCUAACUACGUGCCAGCAGCCGCGGUAAUACGUAUGUGGCAAGCGUUGUCCGGAAUUAUUGGGCGUAAAGGGCUCGCAGGCGGUUUCUUAAGUCUGAUGUGAAAGCCCCCGGCUCAACCGGGGAGGGUCAUUGGAAACUGGGAAACUUGAGUGCAGAAGAGGAG